GAGUUCGAGCUUGAGGGAAAGAAGCCGUUCGUGCGGUGGGCAUACAUGCGCGGGAACCACCAUUUUUUGUGUCUGUUCAUACUUCUUCUUCUACCUCCAGCCGUGAGAGAGAAAGAGAGAGCUAGGUGCAGGGAACUGCACCAACACAAGGAGCACCCGUCGUCGGCGACAACACGGCCGAUGGUGGUGUCCGCAAAGGAGCGCGUCCCGCCGUUCCCACCUCGGGGAAGCUUGGGUUGUAGGAGCUGGUCGACCCGGCGGUCGGCUCGACGUUCACGCAGAAGCGCAGGUGGUCCUCCGCGCCCGCAGUGUCAGGACUCGACUGAUCUAUAGGAGGAUUUUAUGCAAGAAAUUGGGAAAUUUCAUCUCAGAUCUGAUUUGCAUUAGCUAUAAAGUAUAUGCUUUUGCACGAAGGACAGAACAAUAGAAGAUUCGAUACCAGGUCAGCCAC
RNAcentral lists this long non-coding RNA (451 nucleotides) under Hordeum vulgare. RNAcentral's name for it is "long non-coding RNA (HVUL_LNC017240)". The record is from RNAcentral. Lineage: Eukaryota; Viridiplantae; Streptophyta; Magnoliopsida; Poales; Poaceae.